RNAcentral lists this ribosomal RNA (253 nucleotides) under uncultured bacterium. RNAcentral's name for it is "partial 16S ribosomal RNA". It matches the Rfam family "Bacterial small subunit ribosomal RNA", at positions 524 to 776 of the family's 1533-position model. The record is from RNAcentral.
UACGGAGGAUGCGAGCGUUAUCCGGAUUUAUUGGGUUUAAAGGGUGCGCAGGCGGUCUGUUAAGUCAGCGGUCAAAGCCCGGGGCUCAACCCCGAAACUGCCUCUAAUACUGUUGGACUAGAGAAUAGUUGCGGUAGGCGGAAUGUAUGGUGUAGCGGUGAAAUGCAUAGAUAUCGCGCAGAACCCCGAUUGCGAAGGCAGCGUGCCGUGCCGCCACUGACGCUGAGGCACGAAAGCGCGGGGAUCGAACAGG